This 406-nucleotide ribosomal RNA is filed under the name uncultured bacterium. RNAcentral describes it as "partial 16S ribosomal RNA". It matches the Rfam family "Bacterial small subunit ribosomal RNA", at positions 29 to 526 of the family's 1533-position model. The record is from RNAcentral.
AUUGAACGCUGGCGGCAGGCCUAACACAUGCAAGUCGAACGAGUGGCGGACGGGUGAGUAAUGUCUGGGAAACUGCCCGAUGGAGGGGGAUAACUACUGGAAACGGUAGCUAAUACCGCAUACCAUCGGAUGUGCCCAGAUGGGAUUAGCUAGUAGGUGGGGUAACGGCUCACCUAGGCGACGAUCCCUAGCUGGUAGGAGAGGAUGACCAGCCACACGGGAACGGAGACACGGUCCAGACGCCGACGGGAGGAAGCAGGGGGGAAUAUGGCAAAAUGGGCGAAAGCCUGAUGCAGCCAUGCGGCGUGUAGGAAGAAGGCCUGAGGGUGGUAAAGGACUUUCAGCGAGGAGGCGUUACUCGCAGAAGAAGCACCGGCUAACUCCGUGCCAGCAGCCGCGGUAAUUC